This is a long non-coding RNA of Alligator mississippiensis (American alligator), 6678 nucleotides long. RefSeq lists it as uncharacterized. The record is from RefSeq and is a predicted model, not a curated record. Lineage: Eukaryota; Metazoa; Chordata; Crocodylia; Alligatoridae. The transcript is spliced from 2 exons.
GCUCCCCAACGCGCUUGGCAGCAGACCCGAAAGUGGAUCAGAAGCACUUCCGAUCCACUUCUGGAUUCACCAUCGAGCACGUGGAGGGCCCCCCGCACUCCUGUGGGACGCUCCGUAUGUCCCAGCAUCGUAGUAAUUACAAGCUGCGUCUGGUACCUCAAGGUAUGUAGAAAAAACAGUUAAAGCUGUGUCUGUCCGAAUUGCUGAUUCUCUGAAUCAACAUCAAACCUUCGGAUUCAGAUUUGGUUGAAUUGAAUCAGGGACAGUGAUCUGAAUCAACGAAUCAAAUCACCGUUCCUGAUUUGGGCCGAAUCCAAAUCGAAUAGGGCCCGCUUUGCACACCCCUAGUCUCUACCUCAUGCACAAUAACAUUCCUACAAAAGCCUCUUUUUCCACGCACGUUUCAACAGCAGCAUGAGCUGUGGCAAGAAAGAGCCUAGUCCUGCUCCAUGGUGUCAGGGAAAGAGCUAGUCUUGAUUUCAGUGCGAGUAAACCUGGACCCCAUCCCUCUAGUCUACAAUCAGGUGACUGUCAGUAUGGCUUUUCUGGCUCAAAGUCCCUAGCAGAGAUGCAGCUUUCACUGGCAAAUGCUCCUUGGUCAAUUAACUUAACUUUAAGCACACCUCUUAAUCACAACCUGCUGGAGACAAGCUCUCUUUUGCCUUUUCCAUUUGCAUUUACAUCAGGAAUGUUACCAGCACAGCUAUGUUGAUUAUUUUUUUUUUUUCUUUGCCAGGUGUGACAAUUACUCAUAAUCUUUGUCAAGAUAGGUAUGCUGGCAAAUCUGUGCAGGAGGCUACUCCGGGAAGUGGAAGGGACUUUCAGGUGGACAUAAGCCAGACUCUCUCUCUCGCGUUACACAGCCAAACAAAAACAAGAAACAAAGUGGAGCCAUGUUUGCUUUCAUUAGUAUGCUAGCACCUUCCAUGCUUGCUACAAUAUGAGAAGUCCUCAUUUCCAUUGAUUUGUUGCGUAUUAGUGAAGUAGAAAUAAAUGAGGUUCUCUGUGCAGCAUGAAUUUGAGUAGUCCAAGGGCCUGACCAAGGUCCUCUUUAUGCUGUGAUCCUACUAAAUAACAAACUGACAUGGAUCCCAAGGUGAGACUCUGGCAAUAUUGGGUGGAAACAGCAAUGUUAUGUAAAGAAAGUCCAGAACAUCUGCAGAGAAGUAGGAAUGAGCUGUAGCAUGAUCCCUCACUACUACUUUAUUUUUUAAAAAUCACCUUUUACAUUAAAAUGCGUACCUGGUAAAAAGGAUUUACUGAACUAUUUUAAUAUUCAGUAGAAGAAUCUGUUUUCAUUGGAAUAUUCAGAUUUUCUCGUGAAAGACCUGGCUCCCCACCCACAAAUAUUGAAUAUAUAUGUGCAUGUGUAUGUAUAUAUGAAUGUGUGUGUCUAUGUCGCAUGCAACCCAUUUAGAUCAAGAGUACUGGGGAUACUGUUUUUACCAUGCAGAGUUAAAAACAAAAUCAAAAUGUGGUUAUGCCCUGUAAGAAUUCCAAAAUGGGCUAAUCUUACCCUGGGACUUGUAAGUGGAAUUGAUUAGAUUUGGUGUUGUGACACUUUUUCUUUUUGCUGAUAAGUGUGUGUUCCUUCCUUCAAGACUGCACAGAGAAAAUAUGCAAAGAGAUCACAGGUACCCUUGUUGCAAGACUUUUUUUCUCAGGCCCUGUAGAUUCCUUUGCUGACAUCAUUUUUCAUGCAUAUAUACUAUGAGUUUAGAUGCAAACUCAUAGUAGCUGGAGUUCACUGGAGUCUGCUCCUGCUCCCAUUAUAUCAGUAGAAAAUUGCUUUUCUCUUCAGGGAGAACCAAACUUAUCCUCUAGAGUAAGAACUUGCUCUAAACUCAAGCAUCACAUUUCAUUCUUGCUUCAGAGUAAAAUAAGGGCCUCAUUAUACAUGAAUUUUAGGCACCUCCUAGAGCCCUAAACCCUUGGAUUGUCUGUAUAUUAACACCUGACACUAGUUGUAAAUACAUUUUAGGAUGCUUAAAGCUAUGCUUCUGCAGGGCAGAUUUAUCCCCAAUCUGUGUAUCCCAGCUCCUUUUCCAUUUCUGUGCAGCCAGUCCGACAGAUGAGCUGCCAAGAUUGCAUCCUGGGAUGCUGGAGGACUGCAGUGCUACAGGUGGGGGACAGUCAGGGCAGGUUUUCAGCCUUAAGGUGUGACUGAUCCAAACUCAAGUUAGCACUGAGCAAAACACAAACAGCUCAACGUGCAACAAGGACGAAAAAUAGCUUUUAAGACUGUUUUCCCUCAUGCUCUUUCCUCAGUAAUUGUUCAUCAGUUCAAACAAAGACCAUGUUGUCGUUUGUUGGUGUUGUUUUUGUGGGUAGAGGGCUGGUAACUUCCCUAACUAAUAAUACAUUCUCAGGGCACAGUUGAUGAUAAUCUAGAAAAACAUUUCUAAGUACUCAGAUUUUCAAAGAACAGCUAGUAUAUCAAUUUUUUAAUCCCCUGGCUACCUGUAGCCAAAUGUAUUUCCCACAGGACAUUCCUCUGUGAUACGUGCUACAGUUUGAAUCUCAGCACACUCACACUUGGCAUCUUUAAUAAAAUUCCAUUUGCAAAGUACCUAGUUGUCCACCUUAUUGAACAUAGUCGAGCCCUGCCUUGGUAAAGCAAAGCCAGGAGAUUUAGAUGUGGGGUUCAUGAUAAGAAAUGUAUUAAUGAGGUCAGUUGUCUUGCAUCGCUGGGUCCAUUUUCCUCGAUAUCAAAGUUUUCAUGAUUCAGUUCUUUUCCCACACUCCAAAUCACCUUCUUUGACAUAAGUCUUGGCAUAUGGGAAUCAUCAAGUUCCUCAAAAAUUGGUAGUGAAUUGAAUACAGGCAGGUUUUUUUUUAGACUCUAGCUCCCUCCACACACAGGAUAGCAGAGUUCAUGUGAAAUAGGGCUGCUCAGUCAUAAGUGCAGCUGCCUAAUCGCACACCUGCCCCAGGUCCAUGUACAAAAUAACCAUCACACAGUCAUUGUCUCUGUAAACGCAGGUCUGUGACUAGGGGCAGGUCCAUGGCUAGGGGCUUCUGGUAAUCAUGUAUCUGCUCUCCACCUUGCCAACACAGGUGAUCCUAGCAGAAGUACAGAACCACAGACAGCAUCGCUCUCAAUGUCAACAAUAGCAGACAAGCCUCUCUCCAUCCCAUCACAGUUGCGAUCCUUGUGAGGAUGCCUUGGGAGGACAGGCCUCUGCCUAUGAGAGCAAACAAUAAUAGAGAACAAAAGGCCUGUGUGAGUGAAAUCCCUUGUGAUUUCCGGUUCAGGGCAAUGAAGACCCUUCUGCAAGGCACUUGGGUGGGCUAGUUCUGUGCAGCUUUCUCCACGUAGCCAUUCUUAGUAGCCAGCGUACUGCAGACUACAUGCACACAGACACUUUGCCCAUCACUCUAAGCUUUGGGAAAGGAUCUUGUGGGUUGGGGCUUUCAGAAGGAGAGGCCAGACCUGGAGCAGGAUACUCAGCAAAAGAGAAAAAGAGAAAAACACAAGCUCUUCUCCCACUCCAGCCACAGCCUUCCCAAUGUAAGCUUUGGUUACAGCUUAAACUGUGUCCCAGUAUCCCUCCCCAGCCCAUUUGAGGGAUGAAUACCUGCCUGACUUCAGGGAGGGAAUGGCAGCAGCAGGGCUAACUGCCCCACCCAAAGCCUUGGGGCUUGAGUAGCAGCGCCCCACUAAGAUUGGGACUUUCUCAAACUCCUGAUGCAGCAAAGUGUGUAUUAGGAGAGAGCAUAACUGACAGAGGAUCAGCCUAGCCCCACUGUGCUCAUUCAAGCUCUCCAGGAUACCAGGCAAGAGCUGAGACACUGGGCAACACUCCCUCUCUCCAGCAGACUCUGUUCUUCAAGAUCCGGGGCUUGUUAAUAUGUCAGCCUAGAAAGUACUGUAGUUUUCAAAAUACAGCCUACCUGCUUCGGAAAAAAAACCCCAAACAACGUUGCUGGUAAUCCCACUGUUCAUUACAUGCAAGACAUAGGGUGAGAACAGUUCCUGCAAAAAGAAAAAGUCAAAUCUUCAUGCGAUCUAGAGGAUGCAGAGCAAUGAGCAGGCUCACACUCUUGCUGCUCCUCCCCAGUUAGGUGCUACAAGCCAAGAUCUUUUUCUCUGCAUUCUGACUUUCAAAAACAAGGUGUAUAGUAUACGUUGGUACAUGCUGUAUGCGGGGAACUAUGAUAUGCACCUUUUAGUUGCACCAUCACUGCCCUACUUGAAUGUUACUCAUUCUGUACAUGAUCCUUUCCAAAUGAAAAGACCAGUGAAAACACAAAGAGUAUUUUUGGGAAGCUUUACCUGCCAUUUUGGAACAACAACAAAAGGCAUACCCAACCUUCCCAGGCAGCCCUCCAGACAUUUUCCUACAAUUCAAAGAAGAUGGAAAGGGUUUUCAGAGUACUUAGUGUGACAGCUUGAUUGUUGGCAUGUACGCAUGGGUAGGCUUCCUCCCAUCCAGAGAACACAUCAAUAAUAACAAGAAUGUACUCAUAAGAACAGCACUUAGGUAGCAGCAAUUUAAGGUUACAUUUGCAGCUGACAGUAGAAGUUUCCUCUAUUUAGUAAGAUGGGAAUUGGAAAUGUGCUGAGUUUUGCCCUUGAGCAGAAGGGCCAUCACAGCAUGUGGAACUGCAACGGUUAAAGAGUGUCUCAAAACUAGAGAAUUUGCCUUUUCAACCAACAAGGCAGCAGCUGCAAGUGAAUGGAGGCAAGGAGGAAGUCCCGCAGCCACGGGAUCAAGGGCAGAGCUGUAUUAUGCAAUUGGGCGAUGCUUUUCACCGUGCAGCUGAGUGAGUACUCCUAAAGCGAUUUCUUCCUAUUCAUGACAAAACAAAGUAAAGGGUUUCUUAUAAUUAGGGAGUCCAAGAGCGGGAGCAACAGCAAGGGCUUGCUUAAGGGCCACAAACGCUUGUUUGGCUUCAGGAGUCCAAGGGAGGGGUUCUGGGGUGGUAUCAUGAGUAAAUGCUUGCAAGGGUUUUGCAAAAGCAGCAUAACCCAGGAUCCACUGUCUACAAUAACCCGUUGCACCUAAGAAUCCCCUCAUCUGUUUUCUAGUCAUAGGUUUGGGAAUGUUGAGGAUAGCUUCAACUCUACUAGGGCUUCUCUGGUUUUUCUGCUGCUUCUGAUACAGAAACCAGUGACCAGCAAAACCAUCUCGCACGUGUUCCUUUUUGGGGUUUUUUGUUUUGUUUUGGUUUUUUUGGGGGGGGAGAUCUGUGUUUUCAAAUGUCUGAUUGCAUAAGGGCCUUGAAUGCUGUAUUGUAGUGAUCUUAAAUGAAGGGCAGCAGUCAUGCAACCGAGUUGCAAUAGGUUUAACCCAGUCAACUCAGUGCCUUAAAAUAUUUUGAGGAAAGGAUUCCUUAGGGUGAUAUCUUUUAUUGAAGCAAUUGCAUAGUUGGGAUAGUGUUAGAUAAGCUUUCGAAUGCAGGACAUUCUUCUUCAGGUGGCAUGUUUUGGAAAUAAUAUAAAUGCUAUCUUUUGUGGUUUAAAACAACCUGAAACUAUUGGGAGACUCUGAUUGGAUGUAGCUUAUCCACAUCCUCUCCCUAUUGGGUUUUAUUUUACUUGUCUUUGAAGCUUCUAGUGUUGACCACGGUUUCAUUCAAGAUACCAAAUCACCUGGUUCACAAGUCUGAUCUAGUGUGGCAAUUCCUGUAACUUGUCUGAAUGCUAUUUCUAGUGCAACUGCUUAAUUUGAAGGCUUGUGAAGCUAUGAUUUCAGUAUAAAUCCCAUCAGCUUUGCCAUUCAUUCAGCUUACCCAUCUUUUCACUCCCUCUUGUUCAGGUUCAAGAGCGGUUUGUGGCUCAUGGAAAUGACAGACUCAAGCUGAUUGUAUUACUGUGUAGUGAGGAUGAUGAGACGGUCCAGAAAGCAGCUGCGGGAGCUUUGGCCAUGCUGACAGCAGCACAGAAGAAACUCUGCUAUAAAAUGACUCAAGUGACAAUUCAGUGGCUGGAAAUCCUGCAGAGGCUCUGCUUGCAGGACAGUGUGGAUGUUCAGCACCGUGGGCUGGUUGUUGCUUACAACCUAAUCAGCGCUGACAAAGAACUCGCCAAAAAGUUGGUAGAGAGUGAGCUCCUGGAGAUCCUGACAGUCGUUGGCAAACAAAAAGAUGACCCCAAAAUACAGCAUGCUCUUGACGCAGCUCGUGAGUGCCUUGUGAAGUGCAUGGACUAUGGGCUGAUCAAACCGCUGUCACGGGCAUGAGGACAUCAUUGUCUAUUGAGAAACGGCAAGGAAAGGGAGGCCACCAGGAGGUCUGGAAGUCUUCCAGACCUGCAUAAGGACACUCAGUCCCAUGGCCAAGGCUUUACUGAGCACUGGCUUUGUGUGUUUUGUCCUGAAAGAAGGUAAAACUUAAUGAUAUCUAGGUACUGCAAAUACCUUCAGUGCCAGGAUGCAGCAAAUUUCCACUGAAAGAAGCAAUAUGGGAAGCACAUUGAAAAGCUGCUGCUUCAGGAAGUCUCAAAAAGGAUACAGAGAAUGAGUGGACUGUUUUCACAAAUGAAAAUUCUUUAUUUCAGCAAUUCCUAGCAAUGGAAGAACAAGCACUAGGUUUUAUUUCCUCACAUCAGAUGUUCAGAAACUAGUUCAGAUUUGUUAUUUAAAAAUGAUUGUUUCUUCUUUUGAAUUGGAAUGCAGGCAUUUAGCAUGCGAGAGCACUGGGUGGAUUCAUAAUAAACAGCAUCUUUGCUCUGUG